GUAUAAGGGGGUUAGGCUGUUCACAUUUUAGUAGUAUCCAAGCAAUUAGCUCAAAAAAAACAAAAAAAAAGUAAACCCAUCAUAUGCCUAAUAAAAAAUUGAUGUUAGUAAAAGAGAUUCACACUAAUUUCACACCCAUUCAUUAUAGAGAGAGAAACCGCCCCAUUCAUAUUCAGCAACAUAAACCCAUUCUUUCAAUUAAUGAAACAAGCAUUUAAGCCCUUUAGCCUUUCACUUAUGGAACGGUGCAGAUACUCCCAUUUCUCUCACACGUGCUUAUCUUCAGGUAGCCAUAAGCCAUGGCAGGUUGUACUCAAAGGUAAUAUCUUUGCAUGGAAAAAUACAUGUUGGUUGCUGAUACUAUUUUGAGAUCAAGUAAAUAAUUGGUUCAAGCUUGCAUGUUUAGAUUAAUGACAUUGGGAUUGUUUGAUGCACAUCAUUGCUGUAUUUGAAGUACCAAUUGGAUGGUUUUUUGUAAUUUUUUCUUCUUUUUUCAAAAGUAAAGUUUUCAAUUUUAUAGAUCUACAUUAUUGGGACAAAAUCGUGUAAAUCUUCUAACAAUGGUAGGUACCAAUUUUAAUUAUGGCAAUGGAUAGGUACCAAUUAUCAGAUAACUUUGGAGCUAAAUAGAGAUGAUGCAUCUAUCUUCCACAAGGAUUUUUUUUUUUU
Long non-coding RNA from Medicago truncatula (barrel medic), 669 nucleotides. RefSeq lists it as uncharacterized. The record is from RefSeq and is a predicted model, not a curated record. Lineage: Eukaryota; Viridiplantae; Streptophyta; Magnoliopsida; Fabales; Fabaceae. The transcript is spliced from 2 exons.